Molecule: ribosomal RNA, 496 nt
Filed under: uncultured bacterium
Lineage: Bacteria
Description: partial 16S ribosomal RNA
Rfam family: Bacterial small subunit ribosomal RNA
Source: RNAcentral
GAUGAACGCUGGCGGCGUGCCUAAUACAUGCAAGUCGAGCGAACGGACGAGAAGCUUGCUUCUCUGAUGUUAGCGGCGGACGGGUGAGUAACACGUGGAUAACCUACCUAUAAGACUGGGAUAACUUCGGGAAACCGUAGCUAAUACCGGAUAAUAUUUUGAACCGCAUGGUUCAAAAGUGAAAGACGGUCUUGCUGUCACUUAUAGAUGGAUCCGCGCUGCAUUAGCUAGUUGGUAAGGUAACGGCUUACCAAGGCAACGAUGCAUAGCCGACCUGAGAGGAUGAUCGGCCACACUGGAACUGAGACACGGUCCAGACUCCUACGGGAGGCAGCAGUAGGGAAUCUUCCGCAAUGGGCGAAAGCCUGACGGAGCAACGCCGCGUGAGUGAUGAAGGGCUUCGGAUCGUAAAACUCUGUUAUUAGGGAAGAACAUAUGUGUAAGUAACUGUGCACAUCUUGACGGUACCGAAGCAGAAAGCCACGGCUAACUACGG